GAGUUUGAUCCUGGUUCAGAUUGAACGCUGGCGGCAUGCCUUACACAUGCAAGUCGAACGGUAACAGGUCUUCGGAUGCUGACGAGUGGCGAACGGGUGAGUAAUACGUCGGAACGUGCCUAGUAGUGGGGGAUAACUACUCGAAAGAGUGGUUAAUACCGCAUGAGAUCUACGGAUGAAAGCAGGGGAUCGCAAGACCUUGUGCUACUAGAGCGGCCGAUGGCAGAUUAGGUAGUUGGUGGGAUAAAAGCUUACCAAGCCGACGAUCUGUAGCUGGUCUGAGAGGACGAUCAGCCACACUGGGACUGAGACACGGCCCAGACUCCUACGGGAGGCAGCAGUGGGGAAUUUUGGACAAUGGGCGCAAGCCUGAUCCAGCAAUGCCGCGUGCAGGAUGAAGGCCUUCGGGUUGUAAACUGCUUUUGUACGGAACGAAAAGCCCUGGGUUAAUACCCUGGGGUCAUGACGGUACCGUAAGAAUAAGCACCGGCUAACUACGUGCCAGCAGCCGCGGUAAUAC
RNAcentral lists this ribosomal RNA (520 nucleotides) under uncultured Comamonas sp. Its description in RNAcentral is "bacterial SSU rRNA". It matches the Rfam family "Bacterial small subunit ribosomal RNA", at positions 9 to 526 of the family's 1533-position model. Lineage: Bacteria; Pseudomonadati; Pseudomonadota; Betaproteobacteria; Burkholderiales; Comamonadaceae. The record is from RNAcentral.